This 244-nucleotide ribosomal RNA is filed under the name uncultured bacterium. RNAcentral's name for it is "partial 16S ribosomal RNA". It matches the Rfam family "Bacterial small subunit ribosomal RNA", at positions 57 to 305 of the family's 1533-position model. The record is from RNAcentral.
GCAAGUCGACUGGAAUUCUUCUUCGGAAGAUAGUACGGUGGCGGACGGGUGAGUAAUGCUUGGGAAUAUGCCUUAUGGUGGGGGACAACAGUUGGAAACGACUGCUAAUACCGCAUAAUGUCUACGGACCAAAGGGGGGGAUCUUCGGACCUCUCGCCAUUUGAUUAGCCCAAGUGAGAUUAGCUAGUAGGUGAGGUAAAGGCUCACCUAGGCGACGAUCUCUAGCUGGUUUGAGAGGAUGAUC